GGAAGUGACUGGUCCGAGGUCUCAGAGUAGAGAAAUGGACUAAGUUCUGAUUCCGAGGCUGGGGCUGCUGCUUCAAGGCGGGAGAGAUACAUAGUCCUCCUGAGCAUCGGGAGCAAGGAGGGGUGGAGAGUGAGGGGAGGCAGAAAGAAAGAAGAGAGUGUGGGUGAUAAUGGUGAGAACGACCGAGGAGAGAGGCCCCGCGCCCCCGCCCCUCGCCCCUCGGCCCUGGCCCGGGGCCGCCCGCCGAGCCGGCCACACCCGCGGCGGAGGACUCGGAAAGGUUGGAGAGAGACCGGGAAGAGAGAGUGGGAACUACACGCCGGGCCAUUAAUUGGGCCGUAGCUCGCUUGGAGCCAGGGUAAGCUGACUGGCCGCCCUCCCCGGGAGCCACAGCUCCCGCCGGUUCCUGCCGCUCUGGCUCAGCC
Molecule: long non-coding RNA, 425 nt
Organism: Bos taurus (domestic cattle)
Lineage: Eukaryota; Metazoa; Chordata; Mammalia; Artiodactyla; Bovidae
Source: Ensembl